GACGAACGCUGGCGGCGUGCUUAACACAUGCAAGUCGAACGGUGAAGGGGCCUGCUUUUGUGGGUCCUGGAUGAGUGGCGAACGGGUGAGUAACACGUGAGUAACCUGCCCCCUUCUUCUGGAUAACCGCAUGAAAGUGUGGCUAAUACGGGAUAUUCUGGGUCUGUCGCAUGGUGGGCCUGGGAAAGAUUGCGCCUUUUCUGGUGUUUUUGGUGGGGGAUGGGCUCGCGGCCUAUCAGCUUGUUGGUGGGGUGAUGGCCUACCAAGGCGGUGACGGGUAGCCGGCCUGAGAGGGUGGACGGUCACACUGGGACUGAGACACGGCCCAGACUCCUACGGGAGGCAGCAGUGGGGAAUAUUGCACAAUGGGCGCAAGCCUGAUGCAGCGACGCCGCGUGAGGGAAUGGAGGCCCUUUCGGGUUG
Molecule: ribosomal RNA, 423 nt
Filed under: Actinomyces naeslundii
Lineage: Bacteria; Bacillati; Actinomycetota; Actinomycetes; Actinomycetales; Actinomycetaceae
Description: bacterial SSU rRNA
Rfam family: Bacterial small subunit ribosomal RNA
Source: RNAcentral